GACGAACGCUGGCGGCGUGCCUAAUACAUGCAAGUCGAACGCACGAAGUUGAAGAGCUUGCUCUUUAACCAAGUGAGUGGCGGACGGGUGAGUAACACGUGGGUAACCUGCCCAUUAGAGGGGGAUAACAUUCGGAAACGGAUGCUAAUACCGCAUAGUUUCAGGGAUCGCAUGAUUCUUGAAGGAAAGGUGGCUUCGGCUACCACUAAUGGAUGGACCCGCGGCGUAUUAGCUAGUUGGUGAGGUAAUGGCUCACCAAGGCAAUGAUACGUAGCCGACCUGAGAGGGUGAUCGGCCACACUGGGACUGAGACACGGCCCAGACUCCUACGGGAGGCAGCAGUAGGGAAUCUUCCGCAAUGGACGAAAGUCUGACGGAGCAACGCCGCGUGAGUGAAGAAGGUUUUCGGAUCGUAAAACUCUGUUGUUAAAGAAGAACAAGGAUGAGAGUAACUGCUCAUCCCCUGACGGUAUUUAACCAGAAAGCCACGGCUAACUACGUGCCAGCAGUCGCGGUAAUACGUAGGUGGCAAGCGUUGUCCGGAUUUAUUGGGCGUAAAGCGAGCGCAGGCGGUUCUUUAAGUCUGAUGUGAAAGCCCCCGGCUCAACCGGGGAGGGUCAUUGGAAACUGGAGAACUUGAGUGCAGAAGAGGAGAGUGGAAUUCCACGUGUAGCGGUGAAAUGCGUAGAUAUGUGGAGGAACACCAGUGGCGAAGGCGACUCUCUGGUCUGUAACUGACGCUGAGGCUCGAAAGCGUGGGGAGCAAACAGG
Molecule: ribosomal RNA, 771 nt
Filed under: uncultured Vagococcus sp.
Lineage: Bacteria; Bacillati; Bacillota; Bacilli; Lactobacillales; Enterococcaceae
Description: bacterial SSU rRNA
Rfam family: Bacterial small subunit ribosomal RNA
Source: RNAcentral